RNAcentral lists this ribosomal RNA (363 nucleotides) under Triticum aestivum (bread wheat). Its description in RNAcentral is "partial small subunit ribosomal RNA". The record is from RNAcentral. Lineage: Eukaryota; Viridiplantae; Streptophyta; Magnoliopsida; Poales; Poaceae.
AUGCCGUGGUUAGUAGCAGGAGAUUUUAAUGAAAUCCUUUAUGGCCAUGAAAAACAGGGAGGUAAAAUAAGAGCACAGGGGCUUAUGGAUAAUUUUAAAGAAACGCUAAAGGAGUGUGAAUUAACAGACCUGGGAUUUGAAGGCGACAUGUUCACUUGGAAGGAAGGCUAUAUAAGGGAAAGGCUAGAUAGAGCUAUAGCCAAUUCCAGUUGGAGGAAUAGGUUUUCAGAGGGGAAAGUCAUAAACGGUGAUCCAUACCACUCAGACCAUCGUCCUAUUAUCAUUCUCACUGAAAACCAGCUCGAAAACCAAAAAAGAGGGUUUGGAGAGAUAAUUUCAAAUUUGAAGCAAACUGGCUCCUAG